RNAcentral lists this ribosomal RNA (468 nucleotides) under uncultured bacterium. Its description in RNAcentral is "partial 16S ribosomal RNA". It matches the Rfam family "Bacterial small subunit ribosomal RNA", at positions 28 to 507 of the family's 1533-position model. The record is from RNAcentral.
GACGAACGCUGGCGGCGUGCUUAACACAUGCAAGUCGAACGGAAAGGCCCUGCUUUUGUGGGGUGCUCGAGUGGCGAACGGGUGAGUAACACGUGAGUAACCUGCCCUUGACUUUGGGAUAACUUCAGGAAACUGGGGCUAAUACCGGAUAGGAGCUCCUGCUGCAUGGUGGGGGUUGGAAAGUUUCGGCGGUUGGGGAUGGACUCGCGGCUUAUCAGCUUGUUGGUGGGGUAGUGGCUUACCAAGGCUUUGACGGGUAGCCGGCCUGAGAGGGUGACCGGCCACAUUGGGACUGAGGUACGGCCCAGACUUCUAAGGGAGGCAACAGUAGGGAAUAUUGCAAAAAGGGCGGAAGCCUGAAGCAAAAAAGCCGGGUGAGGGAGGACGGCCUUCGGGUUGUAAACCGCUUUCGCCUGUGACGAAGCGUGAGUGACGGUAAUGGGUAAAGAAGCACCGGCUAACUACGUG